Molecule: ribosomal RNA, 1352 nt
Filed under: Salmonella enterica subsp. enterica serovar Worthington
Lineage: Bacteria; Pseudomonadati; Pseudomonadota; Gammaproteobacteria; Enterobacterales; Enterobacteriaceae
Description: partial 23S ribosomal RNA
Rfam family: Bacterial large subunit ribosomal RNA
Source: RNAcentral
GGGUUGUGAGGUUAAGCGACUAAGCGUACACGGUGGAUGCCCUGGCAGUCAGAGGCGAUGAAGGGCGUGCUAAUCUGCGAUAAGCGCCGGUAAGGUGAUAUGAACCGUUAUAACCGGCGAUACCCGAAUGGGGAAACCCAGUGUGACUCGUCACACUAUCAUUAACUGAAUCCAUAGGUUAAUGAGGCGAACCGGGGGAACUGAAACAUCUAAGUACCCCGAGGAAAAGAAAUCAACCGAGAUUCCCCCAGUAGCGGCGAGCGAACGGGGAGGAGCCCAGAGCCUGAAUCAGCAUGUGUGUUAGUGGAAGCGUCUGGAAAGGCGCGCGAUACAGGGUGACAGCCCCGUACACAAAAGCGCAUGUGCUGUGAGCUCGAUGAGUAGGGCGGGACACGUGGUAUCCUGUCUGAAUAUGGGGGGACCAUCCUCCAAGGCUAAAUACUCCUGACUGACCGAUAGUGAACCAGUACCGUGAGGGAAAGGCGAAAAGAACCCCGGCGAGGGGAGUGAAAAAGAACCUGAAACCGUGUACGUACAAGCAGUGGGAGCCCCACCACUAAGCCAGUGGUGAACUCACAUACGCAUCCUUUGCUGAAGGUGCGGUUAACGGAGCGCAAGCGACGUUCAACCUCAAAAGAAGCAGAGGGGGCUUAGUGGUGGGGUGACUGCGUACCUUUUGUAUAAUGGGUCAGCGACUUAUAUUCUGUAGCAAGGUUAACCGAAUAGGGGAGCCGGAGGGAAACCGAGUCUUAAUUGGGCGUUAAGUUGCAGGGUAUAGACCCGAAACCCGGUGAUCUAGCCAUGGGCAGGUUGAAGGUUGGGUAACACUAACUGGAGGACCGAACCGACUAAUGUUGAAAAAUUAGCGGAUGACCUGUGGCUGGGGGUGAAAGGCCAAUCAAACCGGGAGAUAGCUGGUUCUCCCCGAAAGCUAUUUAGGUAGCGCCUCGUGAAUUCAUCUCCGGGGGUAGAGCACUGUUUCGGCUAGGGGGUCAUCCCGACUUACCAACCCGAUGCAAACUGCGAAUACCGGAGAAUGUUAUCACGGGAGACACACGGCGGGUGCUAACGUCCGUCGUGAAGAGGGAAACAACCCAGACCGCCAGCUAAGGUCCCAAAGUCAUGGUUAAGUGGGAAACGAUGUGGGAAGGCCCAGACAGCCAGGAUGUUGGCUUAGAAGCAGCCAUCAUUUAAAGAAAGCGUAAUAGCUCACUGGUCGAGUCGGCCUGCGCGGAAGAUGUAACGGGGCUAAACCAUGCACCGAAGCUGCGGCAGCGAACGUAUCACUUAAAGCGAUUCAGCGGGUUACGAUUGACGGAGCGAAGCGACGUCAAAGCGUAUACAAAGUCGAG